AACUUUUGACAACGGAUCUCUUGGCUCUCGCAUCGAUGAAGAACGCAGCGAAAUGCGAUAAGUAAUGUAAUGCAGAUUUUCAGUGAAUCACGAUCUUUGAACGCACCUGCGCCCCUUGGUAUGCCGAGGGGCAUGCCUGUUUGAGUGUCAUUAAAUUCUCAACUCCAAUCGAUGUGUUUCGAUCCUGGAUCUUGGACUUGGAGCGUGCUUGCGUAUAGUCGGCUCCUCUCAAAUGCAUCGGCGGAAUUGAACCUUUGAUUUCAGGAUGUCAGUGUGAUAACCAAUGUUGCGCUGUCGCACGGGGUCUGAGUCCGCUUACAAUCGUCCUCGGGACAAAGACACCUUAUCAAAUUUGACCUCAAAUCAGGUAGGACUACCCGCUGAACUUAAGCAUAUCAAUAAGCGGAGGCU
Molecule: unclassified non-coding RNA, 411 nt
Filed under: uncultured Atheliaceae
Lineage: Eukaryota; Fungi; Basidiomycota; Agaricomycetes; Atheliales; Atheliaceae
Description: sequence contains ITS2
Rfam family: 5.8S ribosomal RNA (bases 1-150)
Source: RNAcentral